AUUCGGCAAUUUGGGACUGAUCUAUCAAUGAUACAACAACUUUUCCCUGGACGAACACGUCAUCAAAUAAAGUUGAAAUUUAAGAAGGAGGAGCGUCAACAUCCAUUAAGGCUUUCUGAAGCUCUGAAUAGUCGUGCUAAAGAUCNNNNGAAAAAGUGAUUGAGCAGCUGCAACAAGUUGCUGCUCAGGCGGAGCAAGAGUCUAACAGAGGUAACUCAGUCAGUUUGACAGAUGAGGAGGCAGAGUUGAAUCCUGAAACUAAUGUAAGCAUCUUGUUCUUUCCCUUGUAUUCCUAAGAGAUGAU
This 304-nucleotide unclassified non-coding RNA is filed under the name Hevea brasiliensis (rubber tree). Lineage: Eukaryota; Viridiplantae; Streptophyta; Magnoliopsida; Malpighiales; Euphorbiaceae. The record is from RNAcentral.